CUUUCCGGUCAAUUUUCCAGUACUGUCCUGAACGGCGUAGUGGUAUAUAAAUAU
This 54-nucleotide transfer RNA is filed under the name Astrosyne radiata. Its description in RNAcentral is "partial tRNA". The record is from RNAcentral. Lineage: Eukaryota; Bacillariophyta; Fragilariophyceae; Cyclophorales; Cyclophoraceae.